Molecule: non-coding RNA, 28 nt
Filed under: Rattus norvegicus (Norway rat)
Lineage: Eukaryota; Metazoa; Chordata; Mammalia; Rodentia; Muridae
Source: RNAcentral
UGGGGUACAGCAAGAUAUAAUUAGACCA